Molecule: long non-coding RNA, 315 nt
Filed under: Gossypium raimondii (Peruvian cotton)
Lineage: Eukaryota; Viridiplantae; Streptophyta; Magnoliopsida; Malvales; Malvaceae
Description: long non-coding RNA (GRAI_LNC005413)
Source: RNAcentral
GGGCUACAAAUGGGCACCUUCAAGCUGAUAAAUGUUGAUGAGUUGGAACAAUGACUCAAAUCUUGGUCUAGGCUAAAGCUUGGGUGCCAGGGUCUACAGAUUUGAGGAUCCAAAAUAAUGUUAGUAACUCACACAUAUGAUUGGUUACUGGUCUAUUUUACUCAAAUACAAGACUUUGGAAAGAGGAUUUGAUUAAUAAUACAUUUCAUGCUGAUGAAGCAGAAAGAAUUAUAUGCAUUCCCUUACACGAGUUCCACAUGAUGAUAAACUUGUAUGACGAGGCGAAGCUUCAGGUGAGUAUUCUGUGCAAAGUGG